Peromyscus maniculatus bairdii (prairie deer mouse) is the source of this 534-nucleotide non-coding RNA. Lineage: Eukaryota; Metazoa; Chordata; Mammalia; Rodentia; Cricetidae. The record is from RefSeq and is a predicted model, not a curated record.
CCAGCCCAAAAAGUAUUCUGUAGGUGCACAUGAUAUUUCCUCUUCAUUUAAUUGCUCUGAGCAUCAUUGCAUUGUCACACAAGUGAGACUUGGAAAUGCAGUUUUCUAACUAAUUUCAAGUUCUGUCGCAAGGGGAAGGAGGAAAUGGUUUUGCCAAUAGGGACAAUGCAUACUUCCUGCCACAGGCAGGAGCAUCUUGGCAGUGAUCUGCAAGACUCACCCUCCCAGGAAGCAGAGCACCCACACAGCCCUGGGCUCGUCUCUGUGACAAGAUGUAUGAGUGUGUGGGUGCUGGACAAGAUAAAUACCAGGAGCAGGUGAGAGAAGAAGUGGGAACAGAGGGGGCUGCUUGAUGAACUGGAGAAUGUGAGAGGACCACUCAGUCCCCACAGUACGAACCGAAUGGCUUCCUUCUCUGGGGCUAAAGACAGGUCAUGAGGGAUAAAAUUACCAACCCAGGAAAAAGAAGAUGUUUAUAGCUUCUGCUACUUUCACAAAAAUAGAUGAAAGGAAAGGUUGUUUUCCUACCCUCCA